Molecule: unclassified non-coding RNA, 377 nt
Filed under: uncultured Acidimicrobiia bacterium
Lineage: Bacteria; Bacillati; Actinomycetota; Acidimicrobiia
Description: contains 16S-23S intergenic spacer region
Source: RNAcentral
UCCGAGUUGACCCCGGCAGUCUCCUGCGAGUCCCCGCCAUUACGCGCUGGCAACACAGGACAAGGGUUGCGCUCGUUGCGGGACUUAACCCAACAUCUCACGACACGAGCUGACGACAGCCAUGCACCACCUGUCACGGGCCCAAAAGGACACCGUAUCUCUACGGCUUUUCCCGUGAUGUCAAGCCCAGGUAAGGUUCUUCGGGUUGCAUCGAAUUAAGCAACAUGCUCCGCCGCCUGUGUGGGCCCCCGUCAAUUCCUUUGAGUUUUAGCCUUGCGGCCGUACUCCCCAGGCGGGGCACUUAAUGCGUUAGCUGCGGCACGGAGUCCGUUGAUAGAACCCCACACCUAGUGCCCAACGUUUACGGCAUGGACUAC